RNAcentral lists this transfer RNA (74 nucleotides) under Uncinocarpus reesii 1704. Its description in RNAcentral is "tRNA-Ile (AAT) (tRNA-Ile-AAT-1-1)". It matches the Rfam family "tRNA". From Rfam's summary of the family: Transfer RNA (tRNA) molecules are approximately 80 nucleotides in length. Their secondary structure includes four short double-helical elements and three loops (D, anti-codon, and T loops). Further hydrogen bonds mediate the characteristic L-shaped molecular structure. tRNAs have two regions of fundamental functional importance: the anti-codon, which is responsible for specific mRNA codon recognition, and the 3' end, to which the tRNAs corresponding amino acid is attached (by aminoacyl-tRNA synthetases). tRNAs cope with the degeneracy of the genetic code in two manners: having more than one tRNA (with a specific anti-codon) for a particular amino acid; and 'wobble' base-pairing, i.e. permitting non-standard base-pairing at the 3rd anti-codon position. The record is from Rfam by way of RNAcentral. Lineage: Eukaryota; Fungi; Ascomycota; Eurotiomycetes; Onygenales; Onygenaceae.
GGUCCUAUAGCUCAGUUGGUUAGAGCGUGGUGCUAAUAACGCCAAGGUCGAGGGUUCGACCCCCUUUGGGACCA